AAAUGUCACGGUUUCUUGGGGUUGGCUAACUAUUGCAUUAUGUGGUUAUUCUAUUUGCAGAAACUUUCGUACGAUUCUGCACGUGUUUAAUAUAGCAGCUUUUUGAAGAAGUAUGUAGGUGUUAGGUUUCAGGUCAAGGAGCUUCAAACCAUGAUGUAUAUGUUUUGGAAUAACACCAGUUGUGGACAAUACUAGAGGGACAAUGUAUACUUUUUGUUGUUUCCAGAUUCUUAAAACUUCAUCCUUAAGAUGUCGGGAAGAGUCAUAAAGCUGAUUAUCGACAAAGUUGAUUAUUGAAAAUACGAAUAAAACAACAUUUUCUGAAAAUAAUUCGUAGCUAGAUCGAUUUAUCGCCCCCGAAAUCUCCUAUAUACUAAAUUUUAUAAAAAUCGUUGGAGUCGUUUCCGAGAUUCAGAUUAUAUAAUAUAUACAAGAAUUGCUCGUUUAAAGGUAUAAGAUAUUAAAUAUCUACAUACAUUCUGUUAUAUGAAAAAUUAUACGGAGCGCAAUGAUAUGAAGUCGAUUUAGUUAUUGGCAUGAAAUUCAAUGAAAAGAAAUAAAAUAAACUUUGAGUCAAAA
This is a long non-coding RNA of Bombyx mori (domestic silkworm), 579 nucleotides long. RefSeq lists it as uncharacterized. The record is from RefSeq and is a predicted model, not a curated record. The transcript is spliced from 2 exons. Lineage: Eukaryota; Metazoa; Arthropoda; Insecta; Lepidoptera; Bombycidae.